RNAcentral lists this ribosomal RNA (243 nucleotides) under uncultured bacterium. RNAcentral's name for it is "partial 16S ribosomal RNA". It matches the Rfam family "Bacterial small subunit ribosomal RNA", at positions 529 to 771 of the family's 1533-position model. The record is from RNAcentral.
AGGGGGCGAGCGUUGUUCGGAAUUACUGGGCGUAAAGGGUGUGUAGGCGGCGGAGUAAGAUAGCGGUGAAAUACCCGGGCUCAACCUGGGAACUGCCGUUGUUACUAUUCUGCUAGAGUGAUAGAGAGGAUAUUGGAAUACCCAGUGUAGAGGUGAAAUUCGUAGAUAUUGGGUAGAACACCAGUGGCGAAGGCGAGUAUCUGGCUAUUAACUGACGCUGAGGCACGAAAGCAUGGGGAUCAA